Pimephales promelas (fathead minnow) is the source of this 871-nucleotide non-coding RNA. NCBI's taxonomy places the organism in Eukaryota, Metazoa, Chordata, Actinopteri, Cypriniformes, Leuciscidae. The record is from RefSeq and is a predicted model, not a curated record.
UGCAGCACGAGCAGUGGGUGGAACUAAUCUCAUUAAAUAUGAAAGAACUUCCAGUGAAUUGAGGAAAGAAAGAGGGAGUGAGAAAAAGAGGAGAGGAGAGGUUACUGAAGUGACCCUGGGUUGAGGCAAUGCGAGGCGGUGUGAUGCCGGACAGAUUUCGUGCUUAUAUCAUGAUGCAAUCUUAAAGAAAAGAAAACUCCUCCACGCUGGGAUAACUAGCACUUUCCCGUUUCCCAGCUGGAAUUCCAUUCGCUAUUCAUCAACUGCAGCACAUUCCAGUGCAGUGACAUCAUAAUGAAAGACUCCUCUACAUAUCUGAUCCCUGCGACAUAAGCUCUCCUUUCCUCUGAUCAGUAAAGAGAUUCAGUCACGCAGAAACGGACCCCGCGAGGGGAAGUAUGGGAGGAAUUCCCUCGACUCGGCACAAAUCUGCCCGUCUAAAGCCCUGCCGUGCAGUUUGGCCUACUUCAGGCUGUGUGGUGGACAGAGCAGGUCCAGAGCGCUGAAACCUCUGUUAUUCUAGAUGUUUACUGGCUUGCUGAAAGGGCACAGAGGCCCGGACAUACCCGGAAUAUCUGUCCUCUCUAAGCGCUCUGUGUUUAAACACAGAGAUUAAGGAAAGCUGGGCAGUAACAACACGCCGAUUAAGUGCUCAAAGACAUUUUAGUGUCAGAACGUCACGCAUCGGUCCCUGUUUCCUGGAUGUUCUGCUUGGCAGCUCUGUGUGUUCAUAUAUCUAAUACACCAAAACAAGAGCUCUUCAGCAUGAGGGAAUUCCUUCAGCGCUUAGACCAGAAGAUUAUAAAGGGUCAUUCACAAAAAAAUGUUGAUUUUUUUUAGACUUAACAAAAUGUUACAGCUUUUUUUUCAU